RNAcentral lists this unclassified non-coding RNA (281 nucleotides) under Hevea brasiliensis (rubber tree). The record is from RNAcentral. Lineage: Eukaryota; Viridiplantae; Streptophyta; Magnoliopsida; Malpighiales; Euphorbiaceae.
AAAAGAAUUGAGAGUUAAUGCAGCAGAAGCUACCAAAGGUGUUCUAGUUCCAACAGACAUUGAUGAAGUAAAAGUUGAACAACAAGCAGAGGGAUCUGAUGGAGCCACUUAUUCUGUCAAGGCAUCUUUGUGCUGUGACUAUAAGCACGAGCUUAUCUCUGAUUUACGUCAAGCUCUGGAUACUCUCCCCCUAAAAACUCUGAGGGCAGAGAUUGCUACGCUAGGGAGCAGAAUGGUUAGCGUUUUCGUGAUUACUGAGGGCAAUGAAGGGAAUACUGAGG